CGGGGGACCUUCGGGCCUCGCGCUGAUGGAUGAGCCUACGUCGGAUUAGCUUGUUGGUGAGGUAAAAGCUCACCAAGGCACGAUCCGUAGCUGGUCUGAGAGGAUGAUCAGCCACACUGGGACUGAGACACGGCCCAG
Molecule: ribosomal RNA, 138 nt
Filed under: uncultured bacterium
Lineage: Bacteria
Description: partial 16S ribosomal RNA
Rfam family: Bacterial small subunit ribosomal RNA
Source: RNAcentral